This 372-nucleotide ribosomal RNA is filed under the name uncultured bacterium. RNAcentral's name for it is "bacterial SSU rRNA". It matches the Rfam family "Bacterial small subunit ribosomal RNA", at positions 523 to 898 of the family's 1533-position model. The record is from RNAcentral.
AUACGUAGGGGGCGAGCGUUGUCCGGAAUUAUUGGGCGUAAAGGGUUCGCAGGCGGUCUGAUAAGUCAGAUGUGAAAGGCUAUGGCUCAACCAUAGCAAGCAUUUGAAACUGUCAGACUUGAGUUAAGGAGAGGAAAGUGGAAUUCCUAGUGUAGCGGUGAAAUGCGUAGAUAUUAGGAGGAAUACCAGUGGCGAAGGCGACUUUCUGGACUUAUACUGACGCUGAGGAACGAAAGCGUGGGGAGCAAACAGGAUUAGAUACCCUGGUAGUCCACGCCGUAAACGAUGAGUGCUAGGUGUUGGGGGUCAAACCUCGGUGCCGCAGCUAACGCAUUAAGCACUCCGCCUGGGGAGUACGUACGCAAGUAUGAA